Molecule: ribosomal RNA, 465 nt
Filed under: uncultured bacterium
Lineage: Bacteria
Description: partial 16S ribosomal RNA
Rfam family: Bacterial small subunit ribosomal RNA
Source: RNAcentral
CCUACGGGAGGCAGCAGUAGGGAAUCUUCCACAAUGGGCGAAAGCCUGAUGGAGCAACGCCGCGUGGGUGAAGAAGGUCUUCGGAGCGUAAAACCCUGUUGGUAGAGAAGAAAGUGCGGGAGAGUAACUGUUCACGUGUCGACGGUAUCUAACCAGAAAGCCACGGCUAACUCCGUGCCAGCAGCCGCGGUAAUACGUAGGUGGCAAGCGUUAUCCGGAUUUAUUGGGCGUAAAGGGAACGAAGGCGGUCUGUUAAGUCUGAGGUGAAAGCCUUCGGCUUAACCGGAGUAGUGCAUUGGAAACUGGGAGACUUGAGUGCAGAAGAGGCGAGUGGAACUCCAUUUGUAGCGGUGAACUCCGUAGAUAUCUGUAAGAACCCCAGUGGCGAACGCGGCUCUCUGGUCUGUAACUGACGCUGAGGUUCGACAGCGUGGGUAGCAAACAGGAUUAGAUACCCGAGUAGUC